RNAcentral lists this ribosomal RNA (465 nucleotides) under uncultured bacterium. Its description in RNAcentral is "partial 16S ribosomal RNA". It matches the Rfam family "Bacterial small subunit ribosomal RNA", at positions 28 to 507 of the family's 1533-position model. The record is from RNAcentral.
GACGAACGCUGGCGGCGUGCUUAACACAUGCAAGUCGAACGGAAAGGCCCCUUUGGGGGUACUCGAGUGGCGAACGGGUGAGUAACACGUGAGUAACCUGCCCUUGACUUCGGGAUAACUUCAGGAAACUGGGGCUAAUACCGGAUAGGAAUCCUUGCUGCAUGGUGGGGGUUGGAAAGCUUCGGCGGUUUUGGAUGGACUCGCGGCUUAUCAGCUUGUUGGUGGGGUAGUGGCUUACCAAGGCUUUGACGGGUAGCCGGCCUGAGAGGGCGACCGGCCACAUUGGGACUGAGAUACGGCCCAGACUCCUACGGGGGGCAGCAGGGGGGAAUAUUGCACAAUGGGCGGAAGCCUGAUGCAGCAACGCCGCGUGCGGGAUGACGGCCUUCGGGUUGUAAACCGCUUUCAGCAGGGGCGAAGCUUGUGGUGACGGUACCUGCAGAAGAAGCACCGGCUAACUACGUG